AUGGCGGCCUCUGCAAAGAUCGCCACGGAGUUUCUCAAGGAUCCACUGAUCUGGUUGUUCCUCGCCUCGCUGGCUUUCGUCAUUCUGCAGAGGCGGCGGCUGGGCAGCGCGCCAUUUCCUCCGGGUCCGAAGCCGCUGCCAGUCAUCGGCAACAUGACGUUAGUGGACCAGCUGACCCACCGCGGCCUAGCGGCGCUAGCGAAGCACUACGGCGGGCUGCUGCACCUUCGCCUCGGCAGGCUCCACGUCUUCGCGGUGUCGACGCCGGAGUACGCGCGCGAGGUGCUGCACGUGCAGGACGCCGCCUUCUCGAACCGCCCGGCCACCAUCGCCGUCGUCUACCUCACCUACGGCCGCUCCGACAUGGCGUUCGCGCACAACGGCGCCUACUGGCGCCAGAUGCGCAAGCUCUGCGUCACCAAGAUCUUCAGCCGCCGCCGCGCCGAGACGUGGCUCGCCGUGCGCGACGGGUACGGGGCGCUGGCCCGCGCCGUCGGCAGGCGCAGCGGCGAGGCCGUCAACCUCGGCGAGCUCAUCUUCAACCUCACCGUCGGUGUCAUCUUCCGCGCCGCCUUCAGCACCCGCGACGAGGAUGGGCUCGACGAGUUCAUCGCCAUCCUCCAGGAGUUCUCCAGCCUCCUAGGAUUGUUCCACAUCGGUGACUUCUUCCCGUGGCUCGGCUGGGUGGGCCGGCGGGGCUUCAACCGCCGCCUCCGCACGGGGCGCGGCGCUCUCGAUAAAUUUAUCGACAGGAUCAUCGACGAGCACAUGAGGAGGGGCAAGAACGCCGCCGACCCCGACGCCGACUUGGUAGACGGCCUGCUCGCGUUUCUCGCCGAGGCAAACCCAAUCAGCGGGAAGCACAGAGAGGACGCCCUCCGCUUCACCCGCGAUAACGUCAGGGCCAUGAUUAUGGACAUGUUGUUUGGUGGGCCAGAGACAGUGGGGUCCAUGACCGAGUGGGCGAUGGCAGAGAUGAUGCGUAGCCCAGACGACCUACGACGGCUGCAGCAGGAGCUCGCCAAUGUGCUGGGGCUCGACCGUACCGUGGAUGAGCCCGACCUCGACAAGCUCCCUUUCCUCAGAUGUGUCGUCAAGGAGACGCUCCGCAUGCACCCGCCCAUCCCACUGCUCCUCCACGAGUCUGCUAAAGACUGCGUCGUCGGUGGCUACUUUGUGCCCAAAGGCUCCCGCGUGUUGGUGAAUGCAUGGGCGAUCAACCGUGACCCCGGGGCCUGGAAGGACGGCGACACGUUCCGACCUUCGCGGUUCAUGCCCGGCGAGCGAGAGGCCGCCGGGCUGGACCUCAAGGGUGGCUGCUACGAGUUCUUGCCGUUUGGGUCCGGACGGCGCUCCUGCCCUGCGCAGGGGCUUGGCCAACAUGCGGUGGAGUUCGCUGUCGCGCAGCUCGCGCACGGAUUCAACUGGGAGCUGCCCGAUGGCAUGAAGCCCGCGGAGCUUGACAUGGGUGACAUCUUUGGCCUCACCGCAUUACGUGCCACGCGGCUCUACGCCGUGCCACCACACCACGCCUCACAUGCCCCAUGUAAGUAUUGCCUCACAUGCCCCAUGUAA
RNAcentral lists this ribosomal RNA (1575 nucleotides) under Triticum aestivum (bread wheat). RNAcentral describes it as "partial small subunit ribosomal RNA". Lineage: Eukaryota; Viridiplantae; Streptophyta; Magnoliopsida; Poales; Poaceae. The record is from RNAcentral.